Molecule: ribosomal RNA, 163 nt
Filed under: Sison segetum
Lineage: Eukaryota; Viridiplantae; Streptophyta; Magnoliopsida; Apiales; Apiaceae
Description: 5.8S ribosomal RNA
Rfam family: 5.8S ribosomal RNA
About the family: 5.8S ribosomal RNA (5.8S rRNA) is a component of the large subunit of the eukaryotic ribosome.
Source: RNAcentral
AACGACUCUCGACAACGGAUAUCCCGGCUCUCGCAUCGAUGAAGAACGUAGCGAAAUGCGAUACUUGGUGUGAAUUGCAGAAUCCCGUGAACCAUCGAGUCUUUGAACGCAAGUUGCGCCCGAAGCCACUAGGCCGAGGGCACGUCUGCCUGGGUGUCACGCA